RNAcentral lists this ribosomal RNA (274 nucleotides) under uncultured bacterium. RNAcentral describes it as "partial 16S ribosomal RNA". It matches the Rfam family "Bacterial small subunit ribosomal RNA", at positions 523 to 796 of the family's 1533-position model. The record is from RNAcentral.
AUACGGAGGGUGCAAGCGUUAUUCGGAAUCACUGGGCGUAAAGGACGCGUAGGCGGGUUGGCAAGUCAGAUGCGAAAUCCUACAGCUUAACUGUAGAACUGCAUUUGAAACUGCUAACCUAGAGUAUGGGAGGGGGAGAUGGAAUUAGUGGUGUAGGGGUAAAAUCCGUAGAUAUCACUAGGAAUACCGAAAGCGAAGGCGAUCUCCUGGAACAUAACUGACGCUAAGGCGUGAAAGCGUGGGGAGCAAACAGGAUUAGAAACCCUUGUAGUCC